UGGGGAAUCUUGCGCAAUGGGCGAAAGCCUGACGCAGCCAUGCCGCGUGAAUGAUGAAGGUCUUAGGAUUGUAAAAUUCUUUCACCGGGGACGAUAAUGACGGUACCCGGAGAAGAAGCCCCGGCUAACUUCGUGCCAGCAGCCGCGGUAAUACGAAGGGGGCUAGCGUUGCUCGGAAUUACUGGGCGUAAAGGGCGCGUAGGCGGACAGUUUAGUCAGAGGUGAAAGCCCAGGGCUCAACCUUGGAAUUGCCUUUGAUACUGGCUGUCUUGAGUACUGGAGAGGUGAGUGGAACUCCGAGUGUAGAGGUGAAAUUCGUAGAUAUUCGGAAGAACACCAGUGGCGAAGGCGACUCACUGGCCCGUUACUGACGCUGAGGCGCGAAAGCGUGGGGAGCAAACA
This 402-nucleotide ribosomal RNA is filed under the name uncultured bacterium. RNAcentral's name for it is "bacterial SSU rRNA". It matches the Rfam family "Bacterial small subunit ribosomal RNA", at positions 355 to 774 of the family's 1533-position model. The record is from RNAcentral.